GACGAACGCUGGCGGCGUGCUUAACACAUGCAAGUCGAACGGAAAGGCCCCUUUGGGGGUACUCGAGUGGCGAACGGGUGAGUAACACGUGAGUAACCUGCCCUUGACUUCGGGAUAACUUCAGGAAACUGGGGCUAAUACCGGAUAGGAAUCCUUGCUGCAUGGUGGGGGUUGGAAAGCUUCGGCGGUUUUGGAUGGACUCGCGGCUUAUCAGCUUGUUGGUGGGGUAGUGGCUUACCAAGGCUUUGACGGGUAGCCGGCCUGAGAGGGCGACCGGCCACAUUGGGACUGAGAUACGGCCCAGACUCCUACGGGAGGCAGCAGUGGGGAAUAUUGCACAAUGGGCGGAAGCCGGAUGCAGCAACGCCGCGUGCGGGAUGACGGCCUUCGGGUUGUAAACCGCGUUCAGCAGGGGCGAAGCUUGUGGUGACGGUACCUGCAGAAGAAGCACCGGCUAACUACGUG
Molecule: ribosomal RNA, 465 nt
Filed under: uncultured bacterium
Lineage: Bacteria
Description: partial 16S ribosomal RNA
Rfam family: Bacterial small subunit ribosomal RNA
Source: RNAcentral